AUUAGCCAACAUGAGGGUUCAGCUAACAUUCAUUGAAAGGAUUAUAGUCGUCUAGAAUGGUGAUCCACAAUUAACGAAAAUAGGAGAUUCAAUGGAAGCUGGUGUUCAAUCUGAAUUCAAGAUACAUGAUGAUGGUUCAUUGAGGUUCAAAAAAAAAUUUGUAUACCCAAUGAUUCGGUACUCAAACAAGAAAUACUUCAGAAAGCACAUC
Molecule: long non-coding RNA, 211 nt
Filed under: Elaeis guineensis (African oil palm)
Lineage: Eukaryota; Viridiplantae; Streptophyta; Magnoliopsida; Arecales; Arecaceae
Description: long non-coding RNA (EGUI_LNC074450)
Source: RNAcentral